CGGGAGAUGGCAGAGCGGUUGAAUGCACUGGUCUUGAAAACCAGCGAGGGUAACACCUCCGGGAGUUCGAAUCUCCCUCUCCCGGCCA
RNAcentral lists this transfer RNA (88 nucleotides) under Sulfurospirillum sp. RNAcentral's name for it is "tRNA-Ser". It matches the Rfam family "tRNA". From Rfam's summary of the family: Transfer RNA (tRNA) molecules are approximately 80 nucleotides in length. Their secondary structure includes four short double-helical elements and three loops (D, anti-codon, and T loops). Further hydrogen bonds mediate the characteristic L-shaped molecular structure. tRNAs have two regions of fundamental functional importance: the anti-codon, which is responsible for specific mRNA codon recognition, and the 3' end, to which the tRNAs corresponding amino acid is attached (by aminoacyl-tRNA synthetases). tRNAs cope with the degeneracy of the genetic code in two manners: having more than one tRNA (with a specific anti-codon) for a particular amino acid; and 'wobble' base-pairing, i.e. permitting non-standard base-pairing at the 3rd anti-codon position. Lineage: Bacteria; Pseudomonadati; Campylobacterota; Epsilonproteobacteria; Campylobacterales; Sulfurospirillaceae. The record is from RNAcentral.